RNAcentral lists this ribosomal RNA (576 nucleotides) under Vermamoeba vermiformis. Its description in RNAcentral is "SSU rRNA". It matches the Rfam family "Eukaryotic small subunit ribosomal RNA", at positions 371 to 947 of the family's 1831-position model. Lineage: Eukaryota; Tubulinea; Echinamoebida; Vermamoebidae. The record is from RNAcentral.
UAGGGUUCGAAUCCGGAGAGGGAGCCUGAGAAACGGCUACCACUUCCAAGGAAGGCAGCAGGCGCGCAAAUUACCCAAUCCCGACACGGGGAGGUAGUGACAAGAAAUACCAUUGUAAUGUCUCCUAGAGAGGCUUACGAUUGGAAUGAGUACAAUUUAAAUCCCUUAACGAGUAACGAUUGGAGGGCAAGUCUGGUGCCAGCAGCCGCGGUAAUUCCAGCUCCAAUAGCGUAUAUUAAAGUUGUUGCAGUUAAAAAGCUCGUAGUUGGAUUUCGGAAGGUCCUUAGCAGUCCGCCCCUUCGGGGAGCGGGCUGCUGGCCUCCUAUGUUCCUAACGGUCCUCAUCCGCGAGGGUGGGGAAUCAACCGCUAGGAUCGUUUACUUUGAGGAAAUUAGAGUGUUCAAAGCAGGCGUAACUCGCCUCCGAAUACGUUAGCAUGGGAUAAUGGAAUACGACUUCGGUCUUGUUUCGUUGGUUUCGCUUGGCUGAAGUAAUGAUUGAUAGGGACAGUUGGGGGCAUUAGUAUUUAGUUGUCAGAGGUGAAAUUCUAGGAUUUACUAAAGACUGACCAAUGCG